UGCCAGCAGCCGCGGUAACACGGGGGGCGCAAGCGUUAUUCGGAAUUAUUGGGCGUAAAGGGCGUGUGGGCGGUUUGUCUAGUCAGGCGUGAAAGCCCCGGGCUCAACCUGGGAACUGCGUUUGAUACUGGCAGGCUAGAGGUUGGAAGAGGAGAGUGGAAUUCCCAGUGUAGAGGUGAAAUUCGUAGAUAUUGGGAAGAACACCAGUGGCGAAGGCGGCUUUCUGGACCGAUACUGACGCUGAGACGCAAAAGCGUGGGGAGCAAACAGGAUUAGAUA
RNAcentral lists this ribosomal RNA (279 nucleotides) under uncultured bacterium. Its description in RNAcentral is "partial 16S ribosomal RNA". It matches the Rfam family "Bacterial small subunit ribosomal RNA", at positions 506 to 784 of the family's 1533-position model. The record is from RNAcentral.